CCCAAGUCGCUCUUUCAUACCCACACCUGUCUGCUGCAAGCUUUUCCUGGAUACACUCGGGCCCACGAGAAUUCCCACACUUGUUUUUAUAAACCCACUCCUUCCUCUUCGCCCACUUCCAACUCGCACACUUCUCUGGAUCCACCGGCCUCUGCCCUCUUUCCGAAUCCAAGGGCUGAGAGGACAGCUCGGUCCUUAACCCCAAACGCCGAGAAACCGAGGACACCAGCACCCCAGCGCCGCGAGGCUGCGGCGUGGGGAAGGAAAGGAAGCGGGAGAGCCGAGCCCCCCCACCCCCCCCCGCCGCCGCCGCCGGGCGCACACCCCCUUCCGGCACCCCUCCCCCCGCAUUGUGCGAGCGGGCCUCAGGCCGCUGCCGUCCCGGGCUGCCCGCAGGCCCCGUCCGCCCUCCCGCCUGCGGGCUGCCCCAGCCGAGGCCGCCACACAAAGCCCGGGGAGCCAGCCCCUGCGGUGCCAGAGCACGGGGAGAAGGAGCAAGCGCGGGCUGACUUACGGGGCUGCUGCGGCCGCGCUGCCUCAGCCGGGGACACCGACCGUUGGGCACACGGCGGUGUCGCUCUUGGCCGUCCUUCCCUCCUCCGCCUUCGGUGGCGGCAAUAUCUUCUUUCUCCACCUACCUCCCUCCCCCCCACCCCACCUCCUCCUUCUCCUCCCCCUCCUCCUCCGAACCACCGAAGUACCGAGGGUGAGACACAGAGACUCACAACAACAUGGCUGCCACCGCCGCCUCCCCUCCCCUCCCCCCCCGCCCACCGGGCGAGCGCAAGGCACUCCGGGAGAAAGGGGAGGGGGAGCACUCACCGAGGUGCGCCUCCUUUCUGUGGCUUCCGUCGUUUCUCCCGCGCUCUGGGCGCCGGCCGGCGGGAGCUCUGCGCGUGCGCACGCUCUCAGCGCUCGCGCGUUUCGGCCGUCCCUCAGGCGUGCACUCCCCCGCCCUCACCUUGCGAGCUCGCAGCUGGUUCUGGACUCAGAGGUGGCACCGGGCGGGGACGCGCUCUCAACCCUCGGCGGCGCAGGCGUGUUGCCCAGCGCCGCGUUCGCGUCUGUCUUCCCGCGUGGGGCCUCGACUUCCGAAUUCGCUUACCCUCCGCUUCCUCCCCGGUAGCUCAUUGUUCUCCGCCAACCGCCUGUGCGGGUGUUAGAGCUUCCGACCGCGCGGUACUCCCCGCACUUAGCUUCUGGGGUGCUGACACCCACAGGAGCUGGACAGUAACCCAGGCCCUUGGGUUCCAUCCUCACCCUCUCCCCGCAGCAAGACGACGGAGACGCAGUUUGCAUGGAAAAGUGAACCCCUUACGUGGACUGUCAUUCUAG
RNAcentral lists this long non-coding RNA (1335 nucleotides) under Felis catus (domestic cat). RNAcentral describes it as "lncRNA (ENSFCAG00000047430.1)". Lineage: Eukaryota; Metazoa; Chordata; Mammalia; Carnivora; Felidae. The record is from RNAcentral.